Molecule: long non-coding RNA, 459 nt
Filed under: Ananas comosus (pineapple)
Lineage: Eukaryota; Viridiplantae; Streptophyta; Magnoliopsida; Poales; Bromeliaceae
Description: long non-coding RNA (ACOM_LNC000317)
Source: RNAcentral
UAUGCAUUAAGCCCAAAAGUGCGAUAAUUAUAGAAGAUCUGUAGCAAUAUUUAAACCAAUGAAAGGAACUAAUAAAACAAAUAUAUUAUAGAAGAUCUGUAGCAAUAUUUAAAAUAUUAAAAAUGUAUUAAUAGACAUUUUAUGACGCACGUAAAUUAAGCAUUUCUUAUAAGUAAUUCUGACAAUCCAAUUCAUUAUCACUUCGAACAUGACUCCAUCCAUCUCAGCCUCACGCCAUUUCGAACGUAAAUUAGCCUAAUUUGAUCUCUCGUCAUUAGACAGGAUACUGAUCCCUUUAAGUCAACACUAUAUUCGAGGCGGGUCAAAGCAAAAGCAGGCAUUUGGUGGAUUUCUGGAAUAUCGAGAUGGAUCAAAAGCAGAAAGUAGUCUCCUCCCUCCGGCUCUAUUUUUUAACUGAUGGAAAAGAAUUCAGAUUUUAGAAUGAGUUAUUUUUAUUUA